UCCUGAUGGUUCUGCGGCUGGAAGCGUGAUGAGAGCCCCAGCUGGUCAGAGGGCUGUGCUGUGUGCCCCAGAGCUGCUGUCAGGGCUCGCUGGCACCACUCGUCAUUAGAGGAAGCUGGCUCUGCCACAGAAACGUCAGGGUCCGGCCGCGGGUGGAGCAAAGGGAUCCCGGGUGUGGGGAAAGGCUGUAAAAGUGACAAUGAAAGCUGUCCUAGCAGGAAAAUGUGAUGCAGAGGCAUCGCCCCGUCGUUGUGGGGUCUCUGUGUGGAACACCACGUGUCCUGCCCGCCUGUCCCUGCUGUGGGACAGGUUAUCUGCCAACAGCUUUCCUAAAGGCUGGAAUCAUGGAAUAUCCCGAGUUGGAAAGGACUCACAAGGACCUGACCUUGAACAGGACACCCCAACACUCCCACUGUGUCCCUGAGAGCGAUGUCCAAACACUUAAUAAACUCUGUCAGACUUGA
Molecule: long non-coding RNA, 464 nt
Organism: Manacus vitellinus (golden-collared manakin)
Lineage: Eukaryota; Metazoa; Chordata; Aves; Passeriformes; Pipridae
Exons: 2
Source: RefSeq, a predicted model, not a curated record